AGUUGUAACAUGGGAAAACCACGGAAAACACGACUUAUUUGAAUAACCCGGUGACCUACCAAUUGUAGAAGUAGGAUUUUUGGCAAGCAAUAAGCACUUAAAUAAUACAAUUCAAGUGUACCAUCUUCUUUCUCAUUUCGAGGAAAAGGUGCGGAAGGAAAAGGAAACAACGGAGGGAUCCAUGAUCUACCAAUUGUAGAAGUAUGAUUUUUGGCAAGCAAUAAGCACUUAAAUAACACAAUUCAAGUGUACCAUCUUCUUUCUCAUUUCGGGGAAAAGGUGCGGAAGGAAAAGGAAACAACAGAGGGAUCCGAAUCGGACCUAAAUGGGAAUGACAUGAAAAGUCUUUUUCAAAACCUAGCAUUAAGGGCGUUACGACGAUAUACGAGAGGAAUAGAGAAAAACUCGUGAUUGGUGUGGAGGGGAAGAUCUGUUUAUGAUAUAGUUCAAGAAAGAGUCGUCUCAUUUCCUUACUUCUUUCUAAUUCAUUCACUUCAAGACUGGUUCUGAACGCCGCCUAACAUCAUCUUCAACCAACCUCCACCGUACUUUCGGUGCGACCACUAAAGAAUUGCUUAUACACUAAACA
Molecule: long non-coding RNA, 589 nt
Filed under: Nicotiana benthamiana
Lineage: Eukaryota; Viridiplantae; Streptophyta; Magnoliopsida; Solanales; Solanaceae
Description: long non-coding RNA (NBEN_LNC006228)
Source: RNAcentral